AAUAUACACACAUACACACAUACAUAUAUAUAUAUAUAUAUAUAUAUAUAUAUAUACUAAUUAACUAUACGUAUAUAUUGAUAGUGAUAUAUUGUGCACCGUUCUUUCACAUUUGCAGAUAUGCAUAUGAUUAUAUUAAUAUAAUUGCUUUAGUUUUUUCAGCAAAUGCAAAGUGAAUUUCUUUCUAAGACAUGUAUGUGCACAUAAAAAAAAACUAAACAUGCAAUUUUGUUUAUAACGAAAAAAAUUUUUUUAUGAUUGUAGAAUUUAACAAUAUUAAGUCUUAGAUAUUUACAUAUUUUCAUCGACAAAGCUGUAUGCUCCUAAAUUAUACUUUGUUAGAAAAAAGAUUAUGUGGACAACAUUCAAAAAGAGCACAAUUUAAAUUAUGGCAAACUCAUUGUAUAGCUCUAUAAUGAUGAGAGGACACAUAUAUGUCAUAAAGAGAGUAUGGUGAUUUUCAAAAAACUUUAAAAAUGUGAAAGAUCUGGUUUAGAGAGUAUAUUUGAUAUGGCAAACAUGUAUAAUUAAGCGUUUCGAUACUUAUUUCUGUAGAUUUCUCUUUAGUGUGACAUAACAUUUAGUAAGUGAUUGUGCAGUAAAUAAUCCGUGAAUAGUUACGAGUUCCUCAAGUUUGGACUGUGCCGAAAAGUGCAGACAGUGAGGAAAAGGAGUAAAUCCAGGAAGAGACAGAAAUUUGUUUAUCGUAAAACGAAGUUUACCCUAUCUGUGUUUCCAUAAUGUCAACGAGAGUUUAUUCCUUUUUAAGUGAGGACUGAUUUUUUUAAAGGACAGUGUUUGGGUGGUGACAUCAAAAGAAAAAGGCGCUAUAAACAUGUGUACAGUGAAAUGUAAAGAAAAAAAAAGUGAUUGUGUUCCACAUUCGAGUAUGGGGAGCGCUUUGUGAAUACAUAUCUGGAAUGUAUAUUUUUAUAUUCAUUCCAGAGAUGGAGGGAAAAGAAAGAUGAUUUUCGCCAUACUUGAUUGUGACUGAAGGUGCAGUGGUUAAGUAUGCUUAGUGUUUGAACGGAAAAAUAGAUGCAGUUUAUGUAGAGAAAAAAAAAUUACAAAAUGUGUCAAUUUUUCUUAGCACCGUUUUUCUUCACCUUAAUCAAAAUUCGAAAAUUCUCAGGAACUCGAUAAUGUUUACAGUGAUACGCAUUCUAAAUGUCGCUAUUCGUGAGGAAAGUAAAGAUUUAGACAGAUUAGGGCCGUUAAAAAUAUCGGAUGUUUGAUGGAUAAGAAGUUGACGUCGAAACUCUUCAAUUAAAAUGCAUGCAUGUGGCCGACAAAUUAAGUAGACUGCUUUUGAUAUUCUCAAGAGUUUUGUACUCGGUAUAUAUAGAAUUUGGUUUUUCUUGCUUUUGUUAAGUGAAGUUUAUCGUGCAACAAUAUAGUGCUGUGAUAUUUUGAGCAACGAUUAGAGCAAUGACAAUCGGGAACAAUCGCGAAAUUGUAGAUUGUAGAUUUCAAGUGCUUGUGUUGGCUAAGAAUUAAUUUCCUCCUCCGUUUGCGAAGGAAGGAAGGAAGACUGUCAAGUCAUUUAUGUAUAUUGUCGGCCAUAACAAGAGAGAAAGAAAAGAGAUUGCCACUGUGACAUUGGUGAAAUUUUCUGUGGUUUGUGGAUUUUCAAAGAGAGAGAGAGAGAAGAGCAAUUAAAGUCGCAAAUUAACUUUCUAAACGCGUUAUUCGAAAUUUUGGUUCAGAAUUUUUGUUCAACGAAAAGUAGUCGUGUCGCCUGCAACAUAUCGAGUACAAAAUUGUGCAUCUGAGACGAAAUAGUAUCGCAGAGAGAGAACUUUAAAGAGAAAAAAAAAAAAGAAAAGGAAAACUGUAGGAAAAAAAAGACAGUGGUUUCGUUGUCUCGGGCAAUAUAAAAUUUUUCAAUCUUGUGUGCGGGUAGAUCAAAAAUCGGCCCAAAGGAAAGGAAGACAGAUAACGUUCGCGGAGAAACGUCCGAUUGCUGUAUUAAAAUUUGCAAAAAUAAAUUACACAGAUACGGUUAUAUAUGAGAUAAUUAUGCUCAUCUUUUUCUUUCGCGGAUGUUUUGCACAAGUCUCGAAUUUACAUCGCAAUCUUUAAUAUGCUUGUGCCCUAAAUAUAUUCUCUUCCACUCAAAUAUAUUCAUCAAUUCUUUACUUUGGCGAAAAAUGAAAUUGCAAAACGUUUUUAUAACAUAACCUAUUCUGAUCUAACCUAUAACCUACAUAAGGUACUACACGAACGUUAUAACGAUUAUUGACGUGCAAACGUAAUUAAAUUAUACUUGAUUAUACAAUUGGUUCUUGAUUAAAUAUUGAUUUUGAUCGAUCGAGGUAGAAAAUAAACAAUCCAAGUAGUUUGACACGACCUAUAAUUAAAGGUAAAAUAUAUAGUGAUAUUCAAGGGACCAAAAAUACGCAUUUCCCUUUUUUAUACAAAAUAAAUCUGUUUGUUUUAAUUACAAUUUUUCUCCACUUAAUUUCUUUUUUUAUUCGAGAAAUUUUAAUCUAUAUACAUAUGUAUAUAUCCACUUUAAGCGUAGAAAGUGCAGAAAAUAUCAAAGGAAUAGCUGUAUCGUCACGCAAUUUUUUUACGCAUGUUUUGCGCAAAAGUUUCUCUCGACAAAUAUUGUACAAAAUUUAAAUUAAACCAAGAAUUUAGACAUUUUCUUGUGAUACCGCAAAAAGUUUGAAAAAUUAUUAUUAAUUUUCUCGUAAAAAAAAAAAAACCUCAGUGCAGUAAUUAUAUCAGAUAACGUACGAAAGACACGUAUGUGUGCCAAAAAUAUUUUAUAUUUUUUCGGAAAAGAAGAUGUGUGUAAACGAUAUCUUUAUUUUAGACAUUUUAUUGGAUAGUGUAUAUUAUGUUGAGUUUUUACAAUCUUUCAUAGAUGAAAUAAAUCAUCGUUAAAUCUCUGUGAUUGAAAAAUAAUUUAAGCUUAUCUCUUUAUUAAAAGAAAGAUCGUUUUCAUUAAAUCUUAAUAACAACAAUAUAAUAUUUGACGUGCACCCUAUUAUUAAUAACGGGAAGAGACGCAGAAUGUGUAAAUGGGAAAUUACGCGCGUGGAGAAGAAAUUAUGCGUAUAUAUGCGGCAUGUUCUGCUGCUUUUUCUGCGAUACGUAAUAAAAAUACAUACUUUCGGCAAACUUGCUUUUAAACAUCGAUCGUGCAAGAUUGUUUGUCGAGAAGAGUAAAGCUAUAAUAUAUAUGAUUGGCUGAUUCUUUUUUAUUUAUAUAAUAUAUAUAUAAUUUACCGCUCCCGUCUGUGUAAUAUUAAUUGCACAUAACAAAUCCUGAAUGUUUUGACGAAACUUAUAUUUAAUCUAAAAAUCUAGUUAUGCUGAACAAUAAAGUAUACGGAAAGAAACUAUGAACGGUUUUUCAUCGUAAUCAAAUAUCUAUUAUUCUUAUAGUGUGCUCUCCAGUCUUACAAGGGCAUAUACCAGUCUAUUUUUUUUUUACUUUGGAGCAUUUUAAUUAGCAGAAAGAAUUAGCAUAGAAUUUUAAUUAGCCACAAAUGUAUCUAAUAUUAAAAAGUUGAGAGGAAA
Long non-coding RNA from Formica exsecta, 3531 nucleotides. RefSeq lists it as uncharacterized. The transcript has 2 exons. NCBI's taxonomy places the organism in Eukaryota, Metazoa, Arthropoda, Insecta, Hymenoptera, Formicidae. The record is from RefSeq and is a predicted model, not a curated record.